RNAcentral lists this ribosomal RNA (469 nucleotides) under uncultured bacterium. Its description in RNAcentral is "partial 16S ribosomal RNA". It matches the Rfam family "Bacterial small subunit ribosomal RNA", at positions 28 to 507 of the family's 1533-position model. The record is from RNAcentral.
GAUGAACGCUGGCGGCGUGCUUAACACAUGCAAGUCGAACGGUGAACACGGAGCUUGCUCUGUGGGAUCAGUGGCGAACGGGUGAGUAACACGUGAGCAACCUGCCCCUGACUCUGGGAUAAGCGCUGGAAACGUCGUCUAAUACUGGAUAUGUGACGUGACCGCAUGGUCUGCGUUUGGAAAGAUUUUUCGGUUGGAGAUUGUCUCGCGGCCUAUCAGCUUGUUGGUUAGGUAAUGGCUCACCAAGGCGUCGACGGGUAGCCGGCCUGAGAGGGUGACCGGCCACAAUGGGACUGCGAGACGGAGCAGACUCCUACCGGAGGCAGCAGUGGGGAACCUUACACAGCGGCGGCAAGCCUGAUGCAGAGGUGUCGCGUGCGGAAUGCCGUCUUUCGGGUUGUAAACCUAUUUUUGCGGAGCAGAAGCGAUAGUGACGGUACCUGCAGAAAAAGCGACGGCUAACUACGUG